GAAAAAACCAGUAAUAUCCCUUCCAUCCACGUAUGUGAAGGGAACACCCAAAACGUAGUUUGCUGCAAAUCCAUUUAUCAUGUUUUUAUUGUUAUUAUUACUCUCUUUUCUUAUCCUCUCAUUUCUCAAAUGGAUGAGCUGCAGUCAUGAACGCUGUUCUUUUACAAUCCCCACUUUCACCCUUCCAACGCGCCGCCACCACCAACGCUGAACCCCGCGACCAGAAGCUUCUCUCGCUCUUACGCGACCGAAAAACGGAAGAAGCCUGGCACGCCUAUGCCCACUCGACGCACCUCCCCAACCCCACCUGUCUCAGUCGCUUGGUCUGUCAGUUAUCUUACCAGAACACUCUCUCCUCUCUCACGCGCGCCCAGUCUAUCGUCACGCGCCUCCGCAAUGAGCGCCAGCUCCACCGCCUCGAUGCCAACUGCCUUGGCCUCCUCGCCGUCGCCGCCACCAAGGCCGGGCACACGCUCUACGCCGCCUCCGUGCUCCGCUCCAUGAUCCGUUCCGGCUACCUCCCUCACGUCAAGGCCUGGACCGCCGUCGUUGCCCGCCUUUCCUCCGCCCCUGAUGACGGCCCCGUCGAGGCCCUCAAGCUCUUCCGCUCCGUCACGCGCCGCCUCCGGAAGCUCCCAGACAAAGACAUGGCUGCCGCGUCGCGCCCUGACACGACGGCUAUCAACGCCGUGCUCAACGCAUGCGCGAACCUCGGCGAUGCGAAGGCGUUCUUGCAGGUGUUCGAUGAAAUGCCACAGUUCGAUGUUUCGCCUGAUGCGCUGAGUUAUAAUACUAUGAUGAAGCUGUGUUGCAAGAUUGGUAGAAAGGACUUGCUUUUGUUUGUUUUGGAGAGGGUUCUUCAGCUGGGGAUUCCUUUUUGUGUGACCUCUUUGCAGUCCCUCGUUUCUGCUUAUGUUGAGUUUGGUGAUUUGGAAACUGCGGAGAAGUUGGUUCAGGCAAUGAGGGAACAGAGGAGAGAUAUUUGUCGGGUGCUUAGGGAGUGUAGUAAUUUAGAGUAUUUGAGUGGAAAUGAAAGUGAUUACGAUAAUAGUAAUAAUGAUGAGGAUGAGGAUUGUGUUUUUGAGAAAUUGCUUCCAAAUUUGGUGGAUCAGAGUGGCCAUGAAGCUGAGCCACCCUUGUUGCCUAAAGGGUAUGCUCCAAACACUAGGACUUACACCACUCUAAUGAAGGGUUAUAUGAAUGCAGGGCGUGUGAGUGACACGGUGAGGAUGCUUGAGGCUAUGCGGCGACAGGAUGAUAAGGGUAGUCACCCUGACCACGUUUCCUACACCACUGUGGUUUCAGCUCUUGUGAAGGUAGGUUCCAUGGACCGUGCUCGUGAGGUUCUUGCUGAGAUGACAAGGAUUGGUGUGCCGGCGAACUUGAUAACUUACAAUAUUCUCCUCAAGGGUUACUGCAAACAGCUGCAGAUUAAUAAGGCAAAGGAAUUGCUUAAGGAGAUGGUUGAUGAUGCAGGGAUUCAGCCUGAUGUGGUGUCCUAUAAUAUUCUCAUCGAUGGGUGUAUACUGGUGGAUGACAGUGCUGGGGCUCUUUCCUUCUUCAAUGAGAUGAGGGCAAGGGGAAUAGCUCCCACCAAGAUUAGUUACACUACUUUGAUGAAGGCGUUUGCGUACUCGGGUCAGCCGAAGCUCGCUCACAAGGUGUUUAAUGAGAUGGACAAUGACCCUCGGGUGAAGGUGGAUUUGAUCGCGUGGAACAUGCUGGUGGAAGGUUAUUGCAGGUUGGGGUUGGUGGAAGAGGCGAAGAAAGUGGUUCAGAAGAUGAAGGAGAAUGGAGUUCACCCUGAUUCGAGCACUUAUGGCAGUUUAGCCAAUGGAAUUGCACUGGCAAGGAAACCCGGAGAGGCUCUUCUGCUUUGGAAUGAAGUGAAGGAGAGGUGUGAGAUGAGAAAGGAAGGGGAGAAGUCUGAUUCUUCUGUUCCUCCAUUGAAGCCAGAUGGAGGGCUUUUGGAUACUCUGGCUGAUAUCUGUGUGAGGGCUGCUUUCUUUAGGAAGGCUUUGGAAAUCGUGGCUUGUAUGGAGGAGAAUGGGAUAGCUCCCAACAAGACCAAGUUUACUAGAAUCUAUGUGGAAAUGCAUUCAAGAAUGUUUACUAGUAAGCAUGCUUCAAGGGCUAGACAAGACAGAAGAAUUGAGAGGAAAAGAGCUGCUGAGGCGUUUAAGUUUUGGCUGGGUUUGCCUAAUUCCUAUUAUGAUGGAAGUGAGUGGCGGUUAGAACCUAUGGAAGGGUUUUCUCACCACUCAUUCUCAGCAUAAGUUCCAAAAUUUUAAAGUCGGUUGACUCCACUGCCAUAUCUCCCUGAAGCACAGGACCGGAGUUCGAAACACAUGUUUGGCACAGGAUGUGAGUCUCAUGGCCUAUAUCAUCUCAGCCCUUCUCCACAUGCUGGCGUAAUCAUGGAGUCACCAUCCCUUCUUCAUGCUCAGUUAGGUCAUCCCAGUCUUGCCAAACUGCAGCAACUUGUUCCGAGUCUGUCCAAAUUAUCAAGUUUGUCGUGUGAGUCUUGUCAGUUAGGUAAACAUACUCGUAGUUCCUUUCCUCGUAGUGUUUCACAACGAGCGUCAUCCCCCUUUUCAUUGGUUCAUUAUGAUAUUUGGGGAUCUAGUCGUGUUAAGUCAACUUUAGGAUUUCAGUAUUUUGUUACCUUUAUUGAUGACUAUUCCAGAUGUACUUGGUUGUUUCUCAUGAAGAAUCGUUCUGAGUUGUUUUCUAUUUUUCAAACCUUUUUCAAUGAAAUAAAAACUCAGUUUGGGGUUUCUAUUCGCACUUUACG
RNA transcript from Vigna angularis (adzuki bean), 2794 nucleotides. It is a transcript of the gene named pentatricopeptide repeat-containing protein At3g09650, chloroplastic, with no coding region annotated. The record is from RefSeq and is a predicted model, not a curated record. NCBI's taxonomy places the organism in Eukaryota, Viridiplantae, Streptophyta, Magnoliopsida, Fabales, Fabaceae. The transcript is spliced from 3 exons.